ACUAUCGAGGAGAAUUUAUCGCGCGGGUCAUUUGGAGAUCCAGAGAGAGCUGGAGCUGUGUUAGGGAAGCAGGGCGGGGGUGCGGGCAUUUAUGCGGUCUUUCCACCCACCCUCGCCUAAUCAGGCGGCUCUCAGUCAGGUUUUCAAAAUACUAACCUUGAUCUAAGAGCGUCUAUCUCUGCAUAAGUGGAGAAAAUGAUUCAUUUUUAGAGGUUUCUGGGCUUGGGGAAGAAGAAUGGUCGUCAGACAGGAGCAGAAGACGUGAAAGAUUGGUCUGGCCUCGCUUUACUCCAGGCGCCUUGUGGGAUGCUGACCUGUCCCGGGGUGCAGCUGCGCGCACCCCUCCUUGAGCUGUAAGCCUCUGGGCGGUGGAAAAGCAAUCGCCUGCGUCGUGACAGUUCCUACCUACUAAAUUGAAAAUUUGAAAAUCAGAGGCGGCAGGCCCACCCAAGGUGUCUACCAACAUCCGUGGACCACAGGGCUUUUUGCAAGCCCAUGGGAAAGACAGCCUGAGAGACUUCGGAGUGCGUCCUGUCCCAGGCUGUGCCUCUCCUGCUUAAGGGAAGCCUUGAGUGUAUCUCCCUAAAAACAGAUGGGGGCAGGGAAGGGGUCUAGAUCCCGUGGAGCCAGGCCUUGAUUGGAGGUCCGGGCUGGAGAGAGGGAACAUCAACCCGCCCUGACCCCCACAGCUUCCACUCACCCGAAGAGCUGCCUAAUUGGGCUGCGAGCAGCUGCGAAAUUUGUAAUCGUCUAAUGAGCCUUCCGCCUCGGUAAUUCUUAUCAAAAGGCAUAAAACUGAUAUUUUCACACUCAGCUCGCACUGCAGGCGCCGUUUAUAAACAUCCUUCAUCAGUGGGAUGAAAUUAAGCCUGCAUUGACAGAGGUCUCUGGAACUCGAUAUUUAAAAGCAAUAGAUCCGAAUUAGCAAAUUAUAACUUUAAGUAGGGAAAGUCCCCACCAACUUGACUAUUGAACCCUUUGCCUCUGAGCUCCUCGGGGUGAGUAACCACACGUUUGAGAGAACUUAACCUGGAGGUUCUGCGGUGCUCAGGCAAUCUCCGGAAACUCGGAUUCCCGAAACUGCCCCUGCUACGGCUCCUCCCGCCCGCCUUCUAGGGACUCGCCUGGGUCAGACCUGUGGAGAUCGGGGCGAGGCACAGCUGGAGCCUGAGAGAAAACGUGGUCAAAGGAGGCGCAUCCAGGACUCCCGGGCGGCCUGCAGGCGCAGAAACAGAGCCCUGCUCUUGCGGACCCGAGCUUUCCCUGGCCCGCGGCCCUCACCGCCCACCUCCAGGGCUCCAGCGCCAAGGGUACAGUGGGCCAUAGGACUGUAGGAGGCGGUGGAGGAUGGGGAGACUUUCGCGAUCAUAAGAAGGUGCGGAUUCUGGCAGAAUUCUGGUUGGCGACUCCUUCGAUCCCUGAAGGUGAAAUCUCAGCUAAAACCACUCUGAAACUGUGGAUGUCACACUUGGUUCAGGGUUAGGAGACCGUGUCUUUGGAUUUUUGCCCAUCACGUGUAACCAUUAUAAAUAUUAGUCUGGAAAAAGACUUUAGGAGAUUGCUUCUAGAGGUUCUUUCCACAAACUUACCCUGCUCAGAAUCUGCAUAACCCCUCAGAGAUGGCAGAGCUGUAUACGGGCUCACCUUGGGACUUACCGGUCCCAGACUCCGUUUUAUACCUUGCUACCCACAGUUUCUGAGGGUAAGAGAGGGGUGCUUUUAUUCACGCCAGUGGAGGUCGCCAAAAGCGGGCGAGGGCCUCCGUCUGGGACCCACUGGUCUCUCUCCCACUGUGGGCCAAGACUGAGGUUUGAUGGGCUUCCCAGCUGGGCAAGCCUGCUCCACGCGGGACACCCGGGAAUCCACUGGCGGGCAGACCCUGCCUUCGCCACCCGCCCCGCGGCAUUCCUCACUGCGGUCUGAUGCGCCAGCUGGGGCCAGUUGUUUCAAGCGGUUCUGGAGGACCAAUAGCGGAAAGCCAAGUUCUGCGACCAAGAGUCUGUACGAGUGACUCGGUGUUUCUUUCCAGCCGGUUCGCAGAGCGCCAGUAAGCUCUCCCGGUCCGCUACGGAAGAAAUAGGGGAAGCGUUUCCAGUCUAAGAGAGAGGAUGGGAGAGAGAAAAUUAGGAACCACGCCGAAAUUAAGCAGGGCAGCCUGGAAAGCUUCCCGGCUAAAAGCUAUGGCGCGAAACGCUAAAGUCCAUCACACCAUUUAUUCAUUGUGACAUUUCCAAGCCGACAAUAGCGCCUUAAGCACGCCUGUGGUUUGGAGGUGCCGGUUUUAUAUGCAUUUUACUGUUUAGAAUGAUAAACAAAUCAGGACCAAUGGAAACCUGAUUCUAACCUCU
This 2348-nucleotide long non-coding RNA is filed under the name Homo sapiens (human). RNAcentral's name for it is "HSALNT0293222". Lineage: Eukaryota; Metazoa; Chordata; Mammalia; Primates; Hominidae. The record is from RNAcentral.